RNAcentral lists this ribosomal RNA (357 nucleotides) under uncultured Methanosaeta sp. RNAcentral's name for it is "bacterial SSU rRNA". It matches the Rfam family "Archaeal small subunit ribosomal RNA", at positions 982 to 1338 of the family's 1478-position model. Lineage: Archaea; Methanobacteriati; Methanobacteriota; Methanomicrobia; Methanotrichales; Methanotrichaceae. The record is from RNAcentral.
GAGAGGUGGUGCAUGGCCGUCGUCAGUCGUACUGUGAAGCAUCCUGUUAAGUCAGGCAACGAGCGAGACCCACGCCCACAGUUGCCAGCGUACUCUCCGGAGUGACGGGUACACUGUGGGGACCGCCGCUGCUAAAGCGGAGGAAGGAAUGGGCAACGGUAGGUCAGUAUGCCCCGAAUAUCCCGGGCUACACGCGAGCUACAAUGGUUGGUACAAUGGGUAUCUACCCCGAAAGGGGGAUGGAAAUCUCCUAAAGCCAAUCUUAGUCCGGAUUGAGGGCUGCAACUCGCCCUCAUGAAGCUGGAAUCCGUAGUAAUCGCGUUUCAACAGAACGCGGUGAAUACGUCCCUGCUCCUU